This 386-nucleotide unclassified non-coding RNA is filed under the name uncultured Planctomycetota bacterium. RNAcentral's name for it is "uncultured planctomycete contains 16S-23S intergenic spacer region". The record is from RNAcentral. Lineage: Bacteria; Pseudomonadati; Planctomycetota.
UCCGUUUUCACAACGGCAGUCUCUCUAGAGUCCCCGGCCGAACCGUUGGCAACUAGAGACAAGGGUUUCGCUCGUUGAGGGACUUAACCCGACAUCUCACGACACGAGCUGACGACAGCCAUGCAACACCUGUCCACGUUUCACCCUUGCGGGCAGAGAAUCCCGCUUUCGCAGGCCUCAUCCGUGGAUUUCAAACCCGGGUAAGGUUCUUCGCGUUGCUUCGAAUUGAACCACAUGCUCCACCGCUUGUGUGAGCCCCCGUCAAUUCCUUUGAGUUUUAGCCUUGCGACCGUACUCCCCAGGCGGGGCACUUAACGCAUUUGUUACGGCAGAGACAGUAUCGACACCACCUCUACCCAGUGCCCAUCGUUUACAGCUAGGACUAC